AGACAGGGGACCAGUCGUGACCUGCCGGCUGUUGCACCCCUGCGCCAUGAAGCUGACGCUGCUGCUCGCGCUGGUCGCUGCCGGCCUGGUGCUGGCCUUUGCCCAGGAUGCUGUUCCUGAUUCCUCUGAGGAGGUCCCCGAUGUGUCCGUACCCGUCGCCGAGGACCAGGACGGCGCUGACCUGGACGGAGCCGAGACCUUCUUCUUUUGAAGCACCUGUUCCGGCCCUCGGUACUAUUCUUACCACAGGCCUCGCUACUUCUACAGGUCGUACCGGCCUCACUACGGCUACUACGGAUAGUCGUGAUCAGUGGGCGAGGCGAUCUGGCAUCAUGUGACACCUGACGCGAUCACCAACUAUCCACUGCCGUGCUGGAAACGGCCUGACGUUGUGGUAGCUUUCAUCAUUCGCGCUUUUUCGUGCGUGCUUCUGGCGUUAAUUGCUUGGAGUCUUCAGUGCUGCGAAUACAUGCGUUUAAUAGCAA
Pollicipes pollicipes is the source of this 485-nucleotide long non-coding RNA. RefSeq lists it as uncharacterized. Lineage: Eukaryota; Metazoa; Arthropoda; Thecostraca; Pollicipedomorpha; Pollicipedidae. The transcript has 3 exons. The record is from RefSeq and is a predicted model, not a curated record.